GAUCAUUACCGAGUUUACAACUCCCAAACCCAUGUGAACAUUACCUCUAUGUUGCUUCGGCGGAGCCGCCCCGGCGCCCGGAACCCCCUGCGGUCCCGCGGCCCGGAACCAAGGCGCCCGCCGGAGGCCACAAACUCUUCUGUUUUUACAGUUUCUUCUGAGUGUGCCGCAAGGCAGUAUACAAAUGAAUCAAAACUUUCAACAACGGAUCUCUUGGUUCUGGCAUCGAUGAAGAACGCAGCGAAAUGCGAUAAGUAAUGUGAAUUGCAGAAUUCAGUGAAUCAUCGAAUCUUUGAACGCACAUUGCGCCCGCCAGAAUUCUGGCGGGCAUGCCUGUUCGAGCGUCAUUUCAACCCUCGAGCUCCCCUUUCGGGGGGAGCCCGGCGUUGGGGACCCGGCGCUAACAACGCCGGCCCCGAAAUGGAGUGGCGGCCCGUCCGCGGCGACCUCUGCGUAGUAGCAACCACUCGCACCGGGACCCGGGCGCGGCCACGCCGUAAAACACCCCACCUUCCGAAUGUUGACCUCGAAUCAGUAGGAAUACCCGCUGAACUUAAGCAUAU
Molecule: ribosomal RNA, 563 nt
Filed under: [Tritirachium] sp. SACCR 010870
Lineage: Eukaryota; Fungi; Ascomycota; Sordariomycetes; Hypocreales
Description: eukaryotic LSU rRNA
Rfam family: 5.8S ribosomal RNA (bases 194-347)
Source: RNAcentral